GACGAACGCUGGCGGCGUGCCUAAUACAUGCAAGUAGAACGCACAGUUUAUACCGUAGCUUGCUACACCAUAGACUGUGAGUUGCGAACGGGUGAGUAACGCGUAGGUAACCUGCCUGGUAGCGGGGGAUAACUAUUGGAAACGAUAGCUAAUAUCGCAUAAUAUUAAUUAUUGCAUGAUAAUUAAUUGAAAGGUGCAAUUGCACCACUACCAGAUGGACCUGCGUUGUAUUAGCUAGUAGGUGAGGUAACGGCUCACCUAGGCGACGAUACAUAGCCGACCUGAGAGGGUGAUCGGCCACACUGGGACUGAGACACGGCCCAGACUCCUACGGGAGGCAGCAGUAGGGAAUCUUCGGCAAUGGACGAAAGUCUGACCGAGCAACGCCGCGUGAGUGAAGAAGGUUUUCGGAUCGUAAAGCUCUGUUGUAAGAGAAGAACGGGUGUGAGAGUGGAAAGUUCACACUGUGACGGUAUCUUACCAGAAAGGGACGGCUAACUACGUG
This 505-nucleotide ribosomal RNA is filed under the name uncultured bacterium. Its description in RNAcentral is "partial 16S ribosomal RNA". It matches the Rfam family "Bacterial small subunit ribosomal RNA", at positions 28 to 507 of the family's 1533-position model. The record is from RNAcentral.